Molecule: ribosomal RNA, 967 nt
Filed under: uncultured bacterium
Lineage: Bacteria
Description: partial 16S ribosomal RNA
Rfam family: Bacterial small subunit ribosomal RNA (bases 1-391)
Source: RNAcentral
GCCCUUGAUCCUCUAGACUGCCCGGCCAGCAGCCGCGCUAAUACGGAAGGUGCAAGCGUUAAUCGGAAUUACUGGGCCCCCAGCGCGCGUAGGUGGUUUGUUAAGUUGGAUGUGAAAGCCCUGGGCUCAACCUAGGAACUGCAUCCAAAACUAACUCACUAGAGCACGAUAGAGGGAGGCAGAAUUCAUAGUGUAUCGGAGUAAUGGGUAGAUAUUAUGAAAAAUACCGCCGGACAAGGAGGACUCUUGUAUCUGUACUGACACUGAGCGGCUUAAGCGCGGUUUGUAAACACCAUUAGAUACCCUGGGAAGCCCUACCCUAAACGAUGAUGAUUACUUGAUGGCAGACUCUGCUUUCUCCGGGUUAUCCUCAGGUGUUACCUUAUACGUCUGGACCGAACCGCUGGAAGAUUAAGACUAGGAUUGCGCUCGUUAUACGACUUAACGCGACGUCUCAUGAGACUAACUGACAAGCGCCAUGCAGAACCUGACCUAUUCUUUCCAAAAGUUGCACUCUCUUGAAAUGAGAGUGCGACUUUUUGCAAGAAAAAAUAAAGGUGUUUCAUGUUUGGUCCUCAUUUCCCCCCUGCUCCUGCCGCUUGUACGCGCCUCACGAAAUUCAUCUUAUGACUAUAUCUGGCGGCGAUACUCCCAGGAGGAAAAUGAAAAUGCUGGCGGUAACCCGGAAGGAAGGUGGGCUCCCACACCAUCUUGUUGUCCUUUACGAGGAGGGCUACCCGGGUGUUAAAUCGGGUUUAAAAUCAGAUUUUAAACUUUAGGGGGGGGGCAAAACCAAGAAGGUCUCUUCUCCCCCGGUUUACCUCUCCCAUUUCCCGAGUUCAACCCGGAAACCCGGAAAUUACUCACCUCUCAUCGACUUUGAAGCGCUUUUCGGGAUGGAACCCAGGCGGGGACCCGGGGUUUACUAUCUGACUCAAAGCACCUACGUGCCUUUUUACCACAGAUU